This 378-nucleotide unclassified non-coding RNA is filed under the name uncultured Actinomycetes bacterium. RNAcentral describes it as "uncultured actinobacterium contains 16S-23S intergenic spacer region". Lineage: Bacteria; Bacillati; Actinomycetota; Actinomycetes. The record is from RNAcentral.
UCCGGCUUAACCCCGGCAGUCUCCUACGAGUCCCCGGCAUUAUCCGCUGGCAACAUAGGACAAGGGUUGCGCUCGUUGCGGGACUUAACCCAACAUCUCACGACACGAGCUGACGACAGCCAUGCACCACCUGUGAACCUGCCCCGAAGGGAAGGUGUGUUUCCACACCGGUCAGGUACAUGUCAAGCCCAGGUAAGGUUCUUCGCGUUGCGUCGAAUUAAACCACAUGCUCCGCUGCUUGUGCGGGUCCCCGUCAAUUCCUUUGAGUUUUAGCCUUGCGGCCGUACUCCCCAGGCGGGGCACUUAACGCGUAAGCUGCGACACGGAGAGGGCCGAUCCCCCCCGCAUCCAGUGCCCAUCGUUUACGGCGUGGACUAC